GCCUCUGUGGCCUAAUGGAUAAGGCUCCGGCCUCCUAAGCCGGGGAUUGCGGGUUCGAGUCCCGCCAGAGGUA
This is a transfer RNA of Daphnia magna, 73 nucleotides long. It matches the Rfam family "tRNA". Rfam says of the family: Transfer RNA (tRNA) molecules are approximately 80 nucleotides in length. The record is from Rfam. NCBI's taxonomy places the organism in Eukaryota, Metazoa, Arthropoda, Branchiopoda, Diplostraca, Daphniidae.